This 497-nucleotide ribosomal RNA is filed under the name uncultured bacterium. RNAcentral's name for it is "partial 16S ribosomal RNA". It matches the Rfam family "Bacterial small subunit ribosomal RNA", at positions 28 to 507 of the family's 1533-position model. The record is from RNAcentral.
GAUGAACGCUGGCGGCGUGCCUAAUACACGCAAGUCGAGCGAACAGACGAGGAGCUUGCUCCUCUGACGUUAGCGGCGGACGGGUGAGUAACACGUGGAUAACCUACCUAUAAGACUGGGAUAACUUCGGGAAACCGGAGCUAAUAUCGGAUAAUAUAUUGAACCGCAUGGUUCAAUAGUGAAAGACGGUUUUGCUGUCACUUAUAGAUGGAUCCGCGCCGCAUUAGCUAGUUGGUAAGGUAACGGCUUACCAAGGCAACGAUGCGUAGCCGACCUGAGAGGGUGAUCGGCCACACUGGAACUGAGACACGGUCCAGACUCCUACGGGAGGCAGCAGUAGGGAAUCUUCCGCAAUGGGCGAAAGCCUGACGGAGCAACGCCGCGUGAGUGAUGAAGGUCUUCGGAUCGUAAAACUCUGUUAUUAGGGAAGAACAAAUGUGUAAGUAACUAUGCACGUCUUGACGGUACCUAAUCAGAAAGCCACGGCUAACUACGUG